Molecule: small RNA, 3007 nt
Filed under: Pan troglodytes (chimpanzee)
Lineage: Eukaryota; Metazoa; Chordata; Mammalia; Primates; Hominidae
Description: retained intron
Source: RNAcentral
UUUUGGGGUGCCCUUAACAACUGUCGUGACUCCAGAGAAGCCGAUCCCCAUUUUUAUUGAAAGAUGUAUUGAGUACAUUGAAGCCACAGGACUGAGCACGGAAGGCAUCUAUCGGGUCAGCGGGAACAAGUCUGAGAUGGAGAGUCUGCAGAGACAGUUUGAUCAAGGUAAAGUGCAGCCUGGCCAGGCAUCCGAGGCCAGAGCUGGUCAAGGCAGACACAGCUGCCUCGGUGAACUGUCUGGGGCUUCGGGGCACUCCUGCCAGCACAGACUCAAAGCCACGAGGUGCUGAGACUGAGAAAGAGACCAUGUGUGGCUGCAGCGGGGAGGAGGGGACCGGGUCCUGUCAGUGAACCGAAGCACCAUCCCUGCCAAAGCUGGGUCAUAUAGGCCACUCCCCACACUGCCACUCACAGAUGCUCUUCCAGGUUGCCCGGGCACAUGCCUCCCUCACCACACUGGAGUUUUGCCUGUUUGCCCAUGCAGAGCUAGUUGCAGGCACAUGAUAUACAAAUCAGGUUGAGAUGUGAUCCUGUUUUGCCAGGGCCUCAGAUCUACCCUCCUCACAAAGUCCCAGCACCAGAGAAAGUGAGGGACCAUCGUGUGAGGAGCUGAGCCCUUGGGACAGAGACCCAAGUUACAUAGCUCUUGGCAGGGACUCCCUUCUCCUAAGCUGAGCCAGCUUCAAGAGGCCUAAAGUCAGGCAGCCAAACUACCUCUUGGAAUUGCCCACACUGUGGGAUGAGAAGCCACGUCCCCCAGUGCCAGAAGCAAAAGCACCAGAGCAGGGCACAUUCCCAUCUAUCAGCAGACAGGGCAGGAGGCACCACCCAGAGUGGACACCACACCCACUCCCCAGGUGGGCGGCCCUUGCGCCUUGCAGCACCGCAGUCGGGCUCAGCUGGCCGGCAGCAGGCAGAGGGGACCGCAGGACAGGGAAACGCCUGCUAAUCUGUGGGAGACACGAGGCCAAAGUGAGGGUAGAGCCCCCAGUGUGGGAUGCAUUUGUAUAUAUGGGAGAUCCUGUACCAGCUUACCUCCCCCACAGUGGAACCUGGUACUGUCCAUCUGUAGAGAUUUGUUCGUCAUCAGGAACGCACUGAAGUAUGUAUGCAAUGAGAAGGAAAGCAAGACAUGGGUCAGCGGUGCCAGUGGCUGGGAAGGGCCAGAGAGAGAAAAAAUGAGCCUAUUUGCCCUCCCACCAUAGGGGACAAGGAUGGAGGCAGCAGUCACAGUGGUUGCUAACAUCUUUGUGACCUACCUGGAAAGCGAGCCACCCUUUAGGAAAGCCGCCUCCUUCUUCUGUGAUGGGAAAGGAGUAAGGAAGAGGCAACAGCAUAUCAAAGCCAGAUGAGGGCAAGCUCCUGGCACCAAAAACCAGCAUGUGGGGGUAGCACCCCUGCCCCGAGAGUGGUAGAAGGGGCAGUUCAGCAGUCUCAGAAAGAGGUGCUGGGGCCAGCCCAUGCCUGAACCUCAGAACUCGCGUUAGCGCUCACAAGUCCCACCCCUCCAAUCCUUGCCAGUCCUGAGGCCGUCUCUGGCUCCUUGAGGUUUCUCUAGCCUCUCCUGAGCCCCGAGUUGUCCUGAUGCUUCUGCCUGGCUUAGAAUGGUUUGGCCUCACUCUCCUGACUUCCUUUCAGACCACAACCUGGACCUGGCAGAGAAAGACUUUACGGUGAAUACCGUGGCUGGUGCCAUGAAGAGCUUUUUCUCAGAACUGCCUGACCCCCUGGUCCCGUAUAACAUGCAGAUCGACUUGGUGGAAGCACACAAAAUCAACGACCGGGAGCAGAAGUUGCAUGCCCUUAAGGAGGUAUUAAAGAAAUUUCCAAAGGAAAACCACGAAGUCUUCAAGUAUGUCAUCUCUCACCUAAACAAGGUCAGCCACAACAACAAGGUGAAUCUCAUGACCAGCGAGAACCUCUCCAUCUGCUUCUGGCCCACCUUGAUGAGACCUGAUUUCAGCACUAUGGACGCCCUCACAGCCACGCGCACCUACCAGACAAUCAUUGAACUCUUUAUCCAGCAGUGCCCCUUCUUCUUCUACAAUCGGCCCAUCACCGAGCCCCCCGGCGCCAGGCCCAGCUCCCCCUCCGCCGUGGCUUCCACCGUCCCCUUCCUCACUUCCACGCCUGUCACAAGUCAGCCGUCGCCCCCACAGUCGCCUCCACCCACCCCCCAGUCCCCAAUGCAGCCACUGCUUCCCUCCCAGCUUCAAGCCGAACACACGCUGUGAGCCACCAAGACCUGGGGCGACAGGAGAACCGGUCCUCUCUCUGACGGGGUGGCAUUUGGCCUUGAACAAAACCAAGUCCACUGGGGACAGAGGCAGGGGCAAGUGGCUCUCCCCAUUACCUUCUCAAGACCUCAGUGAGAGCACCAGCCAAUGGUACCAUCGGCCGGGCUGCCAGGUACCCUGGGCCCGGCGCUGCAGACCUGAGCUGGCUGCAGGCAGCAGCCAUGGGGCCCUGUCCUUUGACUUGGACCCAUUUGAGGACUGAACUAGGCAGGCAAUGGCCCCAGUGCCCUCCCUCUGUUCCCUGGACCACCACCCCACCUAGCUGCUCACACCAGCCUCCGGGUGCCUCCCUCUGCUUGUACAGAGCCCAUGGUCGGGACAGUGCCCUGGCCUUUGCCGGGGAGGAGGAUGCUCUGAGAUUCAGGGCGGGGCUGGCAACUCCUGAAGAGAACACUUCCUGUUGGUCUGUCUCUUCCCACCUUCCAUCUGCACACACCCCCAAGGUAAGGGUACAGCCCGGCUGGCGGCCUCCUUGGGAACGUGUAGGCCACGGCUCUGCCACCACUAGGUACCUGCUGAGGGCGCUGGCUCUGCAGAUCAGAACAACGGAGGAUAGCUUUGUGCCUGGACCCAGAGAGUGUGGGACUCCCCGCUUCAUCCCCACCGUCCCACUCCACAGCCUUCCCGAAACAUUCCCUGGCAAACAAAGGAACACUAGGAGAAAAAAUGGAAAAACCCUUCCAGUAAUUAAAAAGGAAGAAACCACAG